RNAcentral lists this ribosomal RNA (447 nucleotides) under uncultured bacterium. RNAcentral describes it as "bacterial SSU rRNA". It matches the Rfam family "Bacterial small subunit ribosomal RNA", at positions 28 to 459 of the family's 1533-position model. The record is from RNAcentral.
GAUGAACGCUGGCGGCGUGCUUAACACAUGCAAGUCGAACGAAGCAUUUAGGAACGAAUCUUCGGAAGAGUUUCUAUCUGACUUAGUGGCGGACGGGUGAGUAACGCGUGGGUAACCUGCCUCACACAGGGGGAUAACAGUUAGAAAUGACUGCUAAAACCGCAUAACAUGGCGAGACCGCAUGACCUUGCCAUCAAAUAUUUAUAGGUGUGAGAUGGGCCCGCGUCUGAUUAGCUGGUUGGUGGGGUAAUGGCCCACCAAGGCGACGAUCAGUAGCCGGCUUGAGAGAGUGAACGGCCACAUUGGGACUGAGACACGGCCCAAAACUCCUACGGGAGGCAGCAGUGGGGAUAUUGGACAAUGGGGGAAACCCUGAUCAGCGACGCCGCGUGAGUGAAGAAGUAUUCGGUAUGUAAAGCUCUAUCAGCAGGGAAGUAAAANAGUACG